GACGAACGCUGGCGGCGUGCUUAACACAUGCAAGUCGAACGGAAAGGCCCUGCUUUUGUGGGGUGCUCGAGUGGCGAACGGGUGAGUAACACGUGAGUAACCUGCCCUUGACUUUGGGAUAACUUCAGGAAACUGGGGCUAAUACCGGAUAGGAGCUCCUGCUGCAUGGUGGGGGUUGGAAAGUUUCGGCGGUUGGGGAUGGACUCGCGGCUUAUCAGCUUGUUGGUGGGGUAGUGGCUUACCAAGGCUUUGACGGGUAGCCGGCCUGAGAGGGUGACCGGCCACAUUGGGACUGAGAUACGGCCCAGACUCCUACGGGAGGCAGCAGUGGGGAAUAUUGCACAAUGGGCGGAAGCCUGAUGCAGCAACGCCGCGUGCGGGAUGACGGCCUUCGGGUUGUAAACCGCUUUCGCCUGUGACGAAGCGUGAGUGACGGUAAUGGGUAAAGAAGCACCGGCUAACUACGUGCCAGCAGCCGCGGUGAUACGUAGGGUGCGAGCGUUGUCCGGAUUUAUUGGGCGUAAAAGGGCUCGUAGGUGGUUGAUCGCGUCGGAAGUGUAAUCUUGGGGCUUAACCCUGAGCGUGCUUUCGAUACGGGUUGACUUGAGGAAGUUAGGGGAGAAUGGAAUUCCUGGUGGAGCGGUGGAAUGCGCAGAUAUCAGGAGGAACACCAGUGGCGAAGGCGGUUCUCUGGGCCUUUCCUGACGCUGAGGAGCGAAAGCGUGGGGAGCGAACAGGCUUAGAUACCCUGGUAGUCCACGCUGUAAACGGUGGGUACUAGGUGUGGGGUCCAUUCCACGGGUUCCGUGCCGUAGCUAACGCUUUAAGUACCCCGCCUGGGGAGUACGGCCGCAAGGCUAAAACUCAAAGGAAUUGACGGGGCCCCGCACAAGCGGCGGAGCAUGCGGAUUAAUUCGAUGCAACGCGUAGAACCUUACCUGGGUUUGACAUGGAUCGGGAGUGCUCAGAGAUGGGUGUGCCUCUUUUGGGGUCGGUUCACAGGUGGUGCAUGCCUGUCGUCAGCUCGUGUCGUGAGAUGUUGGGUUAAGUCCCGCAACGAGCGCAACCCUUGUUCACUGUUGCCAGCACGUUAUGGUGGGGACUCAGUGGAGACCGCCGGGGUCAACUCGGAGGAAGGUGGGGAUGACGUCAAGUCCUCAUGCCCCUCAUGUCCAGGGCUUCACGCAUGCUACAAUGGCUGGUACAGAGAGUGGCGAGCCUGUGAGGGUGAGCGAAUCUCGGAAAGCCGGUCUCAGUUCGGAUUGGGGUCUGCAACUCGACCUCAUGAAGUCGGAGUCGCUAGUAAUCGCAGAUCAGCAACGCUGCGGUGAAUACGUUCCCGGGGCU
Molecule: ribosomal RNA, 1347 nt
Filed under: uncultured bacterium
Lineage: Bacteria
Description: bacterial SSU rRNA
Rfam family: Bacterial small subunit ribosomal RNA
Source: RNAcentral